Neomonachus schauinslandi (Hawaiian monk seal) is the source of this 73-nucleotide non-coding RNA. NCBI's taxonomy places the organism in Eukaryota, Metazoa, Chordata, Mammalia, Carnivora, Phocidae. The record is from the annotation of a RefSeq genome assembly.
GCCUGGCUGGCUCAGUCGGUAGAGUAUGCGACUCCUGAUCUCAGGGCUGUUAGUUCAAGCCCCACGCUAGGCA